RNAcentral lists this ribosomal RNA (454 nucleotides) under uncultured Acholeplasma sp. Its description in RNAcentral is "bacterial SSU rRNA". It matches the Rfam family "Bacterial small subunit ribosomal RNA", at positions 923 to 1382 of the family's 1533-position model. Lineage: Bacteria; Bacillati; Mycoplasmatota; Mollicutes; Acholeplasmatales; Acholeplasmataceae. The record is from RNAcentral.
GCACAAGCGGUGGAUCAUGUUGUUUAAUUCGAUGAUACGCGAGGAACCUUACCAGGUCUUGACAUCCCCCGCGAUGCUUUAGAGAUAAAGCGGAGGUAUUCGGGGAGACAGGUGGUGCAUGGUUGUCGUCAGCUCGUGUCGUGAGAUGUUGGGUUAAGUCCCGCAACGAGCGCAACCCCUAUUGCUAGUUACCAUCAUUAAGUUGGGGACUCUAGCGAGACUGCCAGUGAUAAACUGGAGGAAGGUGGGGAUGACGUCAAAUCAUCAUGCCCCUUAUGACCUGGGCUACAAACGUGAUACAAUGGCUGGAACAAAGGGAUGCGAAGCAGUGAUGUGGAGCGAAACCCAUAAAAACAGUCUCAGUUCGGAUUGAAGUCUGCAACUCGACUUCAUGAAGUCGGAAUCGCUAGUAAUCGCGGAUCAGAACGCCGCGGUGAAUACGUUCUCGGGGUUU